GCCAGCAGCUGCAUCACCCUGCAACUCACAACUGGCAACCCACUAAAGCUCAGCAGGUGUGAGCCUGGUCAGUACCUGGAUGGGAGACCUCCUGGGAAAAACAAAGGUUGCUGCUGGAA
Molecule: ribosomal RNA, 119 nt
Filed under: Lepisosteus oculatus (spotted gar)
Lineage: Eukaryota; Metazoa; Chordata; Actinopteri; Semionotiformes; Lepisosteidae
Source: RNAcentral